UUGAGCUGCUGCUUCUUGUCCUUUGCUAUAGAAACUGCUGCUGUUAUAUUUGGAUUAAUAUUUGAAUAUGAAUGUGUAUAAGAAAAUAUUUUUAAAUAAGGAUUAUGAGUUUGAAGUUGACUAUAAUUUAGUUUGCAUCAUUUGUGUCUGGUGCUGGGUUGAAGCCUUUAGGAUGAUUUGACUUCAGUCACAGAAAGUCUGAAUAAAGGAGAAGUCACUGUGGAUCGUCUCUGCAGCAGGAAGAGAAACUAUGGAAACUGAUCUGUGACCAGCAUUUUAUUCACUUUGUAGGAGCCAUAGCUGGACAAGGAUCAUUUUUCUUUGAAGUUAUAACCGCAGGAAUGAAGUGAUAUUUUCACUAGUGCUUCUCUGUCAUAUGAACCUGCAAAAUAAGAACUCAUGUGGUGAAGUAUGAGAUAAUCUAUGGGCUCAAACUGUGGUGAUAAAUAUUUUGUACAUGUAAAUCAGACUGCGUAGUUGUGAAACGAGUUUUGUAACCAUCCUUAGAUGAGUAUUUGUGUGUGUCCAAAAACGAUUUGUGUUUGUAAAAAAUAUUUACACAAGUUAUACAUUUUCUUUGUUACGGUCUGGUUACAGAUACAAAGCAAAAAACUACGUGUAAAACUCUGCAAUCAAGUUCCCUCGGUUGGAUGCUGACCAAAGGAUGAUGAUGGAGGAAGAGGACGACAGAGCAGAGUCUGUAGGAUCCAGCUGUGCGUCUGUGAGGAGUGACAGGUCCAAAGAUCCACCUCCAGGCUCCAGGAGUGGACCAACAAAAGGGAGGAAGAGGAGCGGUGUUUGUGAGGAGGAGCAGCCGUCCUGCUGUGCUUUGUGUCAGGACGUCCUGAAGGAUCCAGUCUCUACCAGCUGUGGACACUGGUUCUGCAGACAGUGCAUCUCCUCAUACUGGGACCAGUCUGCUUCAU
Long non-coding RNA from Haplochromis burtoni (Burton's mouthbrooder), 926 nucleotides. RefSeq lists it as uncharacterized. The transcript has 3 exons. Lineage: Eukaryota; Metazoa; Chordata; Actinopteri; Cichliformes; Cichlidae. The record is from RefSeq and is a predicted model, not a curated record.